AUAUCGCUAAGCGGAGGAAAAGAAACUAAAUAGGAUUUCCGUAGUAACUGCGAGUGAACUGGAAUUAGCCCAUCACGAAAUCUGUCGAGGCAACUCUUCCGAAAUGUCGUGUAUAGAUGUUACUUAAAAAUGAUAAAAUACAAAUUAAUUACGUUUAAACCCGUAGCCACAGAAGGUGCCAGCCCUGUCGAUUUGUGUAUUAUUAUUUUUGGUAGCUUCUCAGAGUCGUGUUGCUUGAAAGUGCAGCGCAAAGUUGGUGAUAAACAUCAUCUAAGGCUAAAUAUCCCCAUGAGACCGAUAGCGCACAAGUA
This 311-nucleotide ribosomal RNA is filed under the name uncultured eukaryote. Its description in RNAcentral is "partial large subunit ribosomal RNA". It matches the Rfam family "Eukaryotic large subunit ribosomal RNA", at positions 40 to 350 of the family's 3401-position model. The record is from RNAcentral.